CCUACGGGAGGCAGCAGUGGGGAAUAUUGGACAAUGGGCGAAAGCCUGAUCCAGCCAUGCCGCGUGUGUGAAGAAGGCCUUCGGGUUGUAAAGCACUUUCAGUGGGGAAGAAAGCCUUGGGGCUAAUACCCUCGAGGAAGGACAUCACCCACAGAAGAAGCACCGGCUAACUCCGUGCCAGCAGCCGCGGUAAUACGGAGGGUGCGAGCGUUAAUCGGAAUUACUGGGCGUAAAGCGCGCGUAGGCGGUCUGAUAAGCCGGUUGUGAAAGCCCCGGGCUCAACCUGGGAACGGCAUCCGGAACUGUCAGGCUAGAGUGCAGGAGAGGAAGGUAGAAUUCCCGGUGUAGCGGUGAAAUGCGUAGAGAUCGGGAGGAAUACCAGUGGCGAAGGCGGCCUUCUGGACUGACACUGACGCUGAGGUGCGAAAGCGUGGGUAGCAAACAGGAUUAGAUACCCUGGUAGUC
RNAcentral lists this ribosomal RNA (465 nucleotides) under Vreelandella stevensii. RNAcentral describes it as "partial 16S ribosomal RNA". It matches the Rfam family "Bacterial small subunit ribosomal RNA", at positions 338 to 795 of the family's 1533-position model. The record is from RNAcentral. Lineage: Bacteria; Pseudomonadati; Pseudomonadota; Gammaproteobacteria; Oceanospirillales; Halomonadaceae.